GAUGAACGCUGGCGGCGUGCCUAAUACAUGCAAGUCGAGCGAACAGAUGAGGAGCUUGCUCCUCUGACGUUAGCGGCGGACGGGUGAGUGACACGUGGAUAACCUACCUAUAAGACUGGGAUAACUUCGGGAAACCGGAGCUAAUACCGGAUAAUAUAUUGAACCGCAUGGUUCAAUAGUGAAAGACGGUUUUGCUGUCACUUAUAGAUGGAUCCGCGCCGCAUUGGCUAGUUGGUAAGGUAACGGCUUACCAAGGCAACGAUGCGUAGCCGACCUGAGGGGGUGAUCGGCCACACUGGAACUGAGACACGGUCCAGACUCCUACGGGAGGCAGCAGUAGGGAAUCUUCCGCAAUGGGCGAAAGCUUGACGGAGCAACGCCGCGUGAGUGAUGAAGGUCUUCGGAUCGUAAAACUCUGUUAUUAGGGAAGAACAAAUGUGUAAGUAACUAUGCACGUCUUGACGGUACCUAAUCAGAAAGCCACGGCUAACUACGUG
RNAcentral lists this ribosomal RNA (497 nucleotides) under uncultured bacterium. RNAcentral describes it as "partial 16S ribosomal RNA". It matches the Rfam family "Bacterial small subunit ribosomal RNA", at positions 28 to 507 of the family's 1533-position model. The record is from RNAcentral.